This 253-nucleotide ribosomal RNA is filed under the name uncultured bacterium. Its description in RNAcentral is "partial 16S ribosomal RNA". It matches the Rfam family "Bacterial small subunit ribosomal RNA", at positions 524 to 776 of the family's 1533-position model. RNAcentral also lists the same sequence under 1 other name. The record is from RNAcentral.
UACGAAGGGGGCUAGCGUUGUUCGGAAUCACUGGGCGUAAAGGGCGCGUAGGCGGCUGUUCAAGUCGGGGGUGAAAGCCUGUGGCUCAACCACAGAAUUGCCUUCGAUACUGGACGGCUCGAGACCGGAAGAGGUCAGUGGAACUGCGAGUGUAGAGGUGAAAUUCGUAGAUAUUCGCAAGAACACCAGUGGCGAAGGCGGCUGACUGGUCCGGUUCUGACGCUGAGGCGCGAAAGCGUGGGGAGCAAACAGG